CGUUAUAACCGGCGAUGUCCGAAUGGGGAAACCCGGUGCACUUCGGUGCAUCAUCGUUAGCUGAAUACAUAGGCUAACGAGGCGAACCGGGGGAACUGAAACAUCUAAGUACCCCGAGGAAAAGAAAUCAACCGAGAUUCCCCCAGUAGCGGCGAGCGAACGGGGAACAGCCCAGAGCCUGAAUCAGCUUGUGUGUCAGUGGAACGGUCUGGAAAGGCCGGCGAUACAGGGUGACAGCCCCGUACACGAAGGCACACAGGCUGUGAGCUCGAUGAGUAGGGCGGGACACGUGAUAUCCUGUCUGAAGAUGGGGGGACCAUCCUCCAAGGCUAAAUACUCCUGACUGACCGAUAGUGAACCAGUACCGUGAGGGAAAGGCGAAAAGAACCCCGGCGAGGGGAGUGAAACAGAACCUGAAACCGUGUACGUACAAGCAGUGGGAGCCUUCGUAAGAGGGUGACUGCGUACCUUUUGUAUAAUGGGUCAGCGACUUAUAUUCUGUAGCAAGGUUAACCGUAUAGGGGAGCCGAAGGGAAACCGAGUCUUAACCGGGCGUUAAGUUGCAGGGUAUAGACCCGAAACCCGGUGAUCUAGCCAUGGGCAGGUUGAAGGUUGGGUAACACUAACUGGAGGACCGAACCGACUAAUGUUGAAAAAUUAGCGGAUGACCUGUGGCUGGGGGUGAAAGGCCAAUCAAACCGGGAGAUAGCUGGUUCUCCCCGAAAGCUAUUUAGGUAGCGCCUCGUGAACUCAUCUCCGGGGGUAGAGCACUGUUUCGGCUAGGGGGCCAUCCCGGCUUACCAACCCGAUGCAAACUGCGAAUACCGGAGAAUGUUAUCACGGGAGACACACGGCGGGUGCUAACGUCCGUCGUGAAGAGGGAAACAACCCAGACCGCCAGCUAAGGUCCCAAAGUCAUGGUUAAGUGGGAAACGAUGUGGGAAGGCCCAGACAGCCAGGAUGUUGGCUUAGAAGCAGCCAUCAUUUAAAGAAAGCGUAAUAGCUCACUGGUCGAGUCGGCCUGCGCGGAAGAUGUAACGGGGCUAAACCAUGCACCGAAGCUGCGGCAGCGACACUGUGUGUUGUUGGGUAGGGGAGCGUUCUGUAAGCCUGCGAAGGUGUGCUGUGAGGCAUGCUGGAGGUAUCAGAAGUGCGAAUGCUGACAUAAGUAACGAUAAAGCGGGUGAAAAGCCCGCUCGCCGGAAGACCAAGGGUUCCUGUCCAACGUUAAUCGGGGCAGGGUGAGUCGACCCCUAAGGCGAGGCCGAAAGGCGUAGUCGAUGGGAAACAGGUUAAUAUUCCUGUACUUGGUGUUACUGCGAAGGGGGGACGGAGAAGGCUAUGUCGGCCGGGCGACGGUUGUCCCGGUUUAAGCGUGUAGGCUGACUUUCCAGGCAAAUCCGGAAGGUUAAGGCUGAGGCGUGAUGACGAGGCACCACGGUGCUGAAGUGACAAAUGCCCUGCUUCCAGGAAAAGCCUCUAAGCAUCAGGUAACAUCAAAUCGUACCCCAAACCGACACAGGUGGUCAGGUAGAGAAUACCAAGGCGCUUGAGAGAACUCGGGUGAAGGAACUAGGCAAAAUGGUGCCGUAACUUCGGGAGAAGGCACGCUGACAUGUAGGUGAAGCCCCUGCGGGUGGAGCUGAAGUCAGUCGAAGAUACCAGCUGGCUGCAACUGUUUAUUAAAAACACAGCACUGUGCAAACACGAAAGUGGACGUAUACGGUGUGACGCCUGCCCGGUGCCGGAAGGUUAAUUGAUGGGGUUAUCGCAAGAGAAGCUCCUGAUCGAAGCCCCGGUAAACGGCGGCCGUAACUAUAACGGUCCUAAGGUAGCGAAAUUCCUUGUCGGGUAAGUUCCGACCUGCACGAAUGGCGUAAUGAUGGCCAGGCUGUCUCCACCCGAGACUCAGUGAAAUUGAACUCGCUGUGAAGAUGCAGUGUACCCGCGGCAAGACGGAAAGACCCCGUGAACCUUUACUACAGCUUGACACUGAACAUUGAGCCUUGAUGUGUAGGAUAGGUGGGAGGCUUUGAAGCGUGGACGCCAGUCUGCGUGGAGCCGACCUUGAAAUACCACCCUUUAAUGUUUGAUGUUCUAACCUGGCGCCGUGAUCCGGCGUGGGGACAGUGUCUGGUGGGUAGUUUGACUGGGGCGGUCUCCUCCCAAAGUGUAACGGAGGAGCACGAAGGUCAGCUAAUCCUGGUCGGACAUCAGGAGGUUAGUGCAAUGGCAUAAGCUGGCUUGACUGCGAGAGUGACGGCUCGAGCAGGUGCGAAAGCAGGUCAUAGUGAUCCGGUGGUUCUGUAUGGAAGGGCCAUCGCUCAACGGAUAAAAGGUACUCCGGGGAUAACAGGCUGAUACCGCCCAAGAGUUCAUAUCGACGGCGGUGUUUGGCACCUCGAUGUCGGCUCAUCACAUCCUGGGGCUGAAGUAGGUCCCAAGGGUAUGGCUGUUCGCCAUUUAAAGUGGUACGCGAGCUGGGUUUAGAACGUCGUGAGACAGUUCGGUCCCUAUCUGCCGUGGGCGCUGGAGAAUUGAGGGGGGCUGCUCCCAGUACGAGAGGACCGGAGUGGACGCAUCACUGGUGUUCGGGUUGUCAUGCCAAUGGCACUGCCCGGUAGCUAAAUGCGGAAGAGAUAAGUGCUGAAAGCAUCUAAGCACGAAACUUGCCCCGAGAUGAGUUCUCCCUGAGACUGUAAGUCUCCUGAAGGAACGUUGAAGACGACGACGUUGAUAGGCCGGGUGUGUAAGCGCAGCGAUGCGUUGAGCUAACCGGUACUAAUGAACCGUGAGGCUUAACCUUACAACGCCAAAGAAGU
RNAcentral lists this ribosomal RNA (2822 nucleotides) under Cronobacter sakazakii. RNAcentral describes it as "bacterial LSU rRNA". It matches the Rfam family "Bacterial large subunit ribosomal RNA". Lineage: Bacteria; Pseudomonadati; Pseudomonadota; Gammaproteobacteria; Enterobacterales; Enterobacteriaceae. The record is from RNAcentral.